RNAcentral lists this ribosomal RNA (488 nucleotides) under uncultured soil bacterium. RNAcentral's name for it is "bacterial SSU rRNA". It matches the Rfam family "Bacterial small subunit ribosomal RNA", at positions 26 to 511 of the family's 1533-position model. The record is from RNAcentral.
AGAUUGAACGCUGGCGGCAUGCCUUACACAUGCAAGUCGAACGGCAGCACGGGAGCAAUCCUGGUGGCGAGUGGCGAACGGGUGAGUAAUAUAUCGGAACGUGCCCAGUCGUGGGGGAUAACGCAGCGAAAGCUGUGCUAAUACCGCAUACGAUCUAUGGAUGAAAGCGGGGGAUCGCAAGACCUCGCGCGAUUGGAGCGGCCGAUAUCAGAUUAGCUAGUUGGUGGGGUAAAAGCCUACCAAGGCGACGAUCUGUAGCUGGUCUGAGAGGACGACCAGCCACACUGGAACUGAGACACGGUCCAGACCCCUACGGGAGGCAGCAGUGGGGAAUUUUGGACAAUGGGCGCAAGCCUGAUCCAGCAAUGCCGCGUGCAGGAUGAAGGCCUUCGGUUGUAACUGCUUUUGUACGGAACGAAACGGUUCUCUACUAAUACGAGGGCUAAGUGACGUACCGUAAGAAUAAGACACCGCUAACUACGUAGACC